This 1177-nucleotide long non-coding RNA is filed under the name Homo sapiens (human). RNAcentral's name for it is "HSALNT0380523". Lineage: Eukaryota; Metazoa; Chordata; Mammalia; Primates; Hominidae. The record is from RNAcentral.
GGAAUAAAUGUGUUAAAGCAACAGAGACAUUCAAGAACAUUCAUUAUAUCUGGUGUGCAGUAUGUACAAAAGAGUAAUAAACAAGGAAGCUAUUAAGCUGGGAUGUUCUAGAUCGUGUAGGUACAUGUACCUGCUAAGCAGUACAGACUUUGUCAGCAUGGGGAGACAUUAGGGGGUUUUAAAUGAGGGAGUAAUAGGAUGAGAUUUACAUAUGAGAAAAAUUCCUCUGGUAAUUACUGUAAUGGAUGGCUUUAGGAGGUUAGACAAAAAAUAACAAUGGACUAGGAUAGUAGCAGUGAAGAUGGAGAGAACGGGACAAAUUUGAGAAUUAUUUGGAAGACUAAAUGAGCAAAAAUCGGCGAGAAAGAAAAGGAAAGAGUGACAGAGAGAUUGAAUAUUGUAAUAUAUCAAGGGGGAAGGAGUCAAUAAAAAAAUUAGAAAUCACAAGAGUUAGGAAGCAAGAAAGGUUCUAGAGCACAGGUGUAUGGAUCAAUAUUGAACGACAACAAGGAAGGUGGUAAAGGAUAGGUGUCAACACAGAUGCUGGCAGGAAACAGCAGAAGAGAAGAAAGUUGAGAUGAAGAAAAAAAUAUGAACGAAGGCAAUGAAGUAAGGGGAAGAUGGAGACAACUUUUAGGGCUUUUACUAUAGGUUCACUGUUUCUAAUAUAACCAUCAGAAUCUUCUGUCACAAAAGGUUACAUGUUGAUGGAAAGAAUACAGGAAAAUAAAUGAGAUCUAAUUUACCAUAUGAGGCUUUAGAAUUUAUUAAAAUCAUUUGUUAUUUAUGUACCAUAUUUAAUCUUUGCCAUGUCUAUAUUCUACCUAUAUUAGUAUUUUUCUCUAGAAAGAAUUUAGUUUUUACUCAGCUUCAUUUCCAUGAAAAUGAAAUAUAAUUUUUCUUAAUAUAUUAAAAAUAUCUUACCUACCUUCAGUGAUAUUAAAAUUCAAUUAUUUCACUUGCUCCAUAUGCCCAUUUUUUUCCAUCACUAACCCUUAGUCUUUAAGCAUGCAGAUCUAAAUUUCCAUUAGUUAGACUGGUACAAGUCUCCUGCGAAUUGUUAAGUCUCUUAUUUCUAUCUCGCUGAUAAUUGCAUCUUCCUAGAAAUGUGAGGAGUGGAGAGCUACUAAAGACUGUUGGAUUAAGGGUUGGGCACGGUGGCUCAUGCCUGUAAUCC